ACGGAAGGCAGCAGUGGGGAAUAUUGCACAAUGGGGGAAACCCUGAUGCAGCGACGCCGCGUGAGUGAAGAAGUAUUUCGGUAUGUAAAGCUCUAUCAGCAGGAAAGAAAAUGACGGUACCUGACUAAGAAGCCCCGGCUAACUACGUGCCAGCAGCCGCGGUAAUACGUAGGGGGCAAGCGUUAUCCGGAUUUACUGGGUGUAAAGGGAGCGUAGACGGCUUUGCAAGUCUGAAGUGAAAGCCCGGGGCUCAACCCCGGAACUGCUUUGGAAACUGUAGAGCUGGAGUGCAGGAGAGGUAAGUGGAAUUCCUAGUGUAGCGGUGAAAUGCGUGGAUAUUAGGAGGAACACCAGUGGCGAAGGCGGCUUACUGGACUGUAACUGACGUUGAGGCUCGAAGGCGUGGGGAGCAAACAGGAUUAGAUACCCUGGUA
This 434-nucleotide ribosomal RNA is filed under the name uncultured Clostridium sp. RNAcentral describes it as "partial 16S ribosomal RNA". It matches the Rfam family "Bacterial small subunit ribosomal RNA", at positions 341 to 792 of the family's 1533-position model. Lineage: Bacteria; Bacillati; Bacillota; Clostridia; Eubacteriales; Clostridiaceae. The record is from RNAcentral.